This 495-nucleotide ribosomal RNA is filed under the name uncultured bacterium. RNAcentral's name for it is "partial 16S ribosomal RNA". It matches the Rfam family "Bacterial small subunit ribosomal RNA", at positions 28 to 505 of the family's 1533-position model. The record is from RNAcentral.
GAUGAACGCUGGCGGCGUGCCUAAUACAUGCAAGUCGAGCGAACAGACGAGGAGCUUGCUCCUCUGACGUUAGCGGCGGACGGGUGAGUAACACGUGGAUAACCUACCUAUAAGACUGGGAUAACUUCGGGAAACCGGAGCUAAUACCGGAUAAUAUAUUGAACCGCAUGGUUCAAUAGUGAAAGACGGUUUUGCUGUCACUUAUAGAUGGAUCCGCGCCGCAUUAGCUAGUUGGUAAGGUAACGGCUUACCAAGGCAACGAUGCGUAGCCGACCUGAGAGGGUGACCGGCCACACUGAAACUGAGACCGGGUCAAGACCCCUACGGGAGGCAGCAGUAGGGAAUUUUCCGCAAGGGGGGAAGGCCUGACGGGGCAACGCCGGGGAGGGAAUGAAGGUCUUCGGAUCGAAAACCUCUUUUAUGGGGGAAAAACAAAGGGGUAAGUAACUAUGCACGUCUUGACGGUACCUAAUCAGAAAGCCCCGGCUAACUACG